CCCACACCAGAAGUUCGGUAGAGAGUCCUGCAGUGCUCUCUCUGUCGCUUACGCUGUCUCUUUAACAAAAUUUCUUGGUUCCUUCCUCCUCUGCUUCCAUCUUUCUAAGGGUUUUUAAUUUUCGGACUUCAAUUUUGAAUAAAUUUACGAAAUUAGCAUCGCCGCAACUCAGUUUCUUCGAUCGGAGAGUGAUCGGAGAAGUUCUGGAAACUCCUUCUUGAGGAUCACUUUUUUUUUUCUUUUCUUUCAAAAAAAUGGAGUCUGAUUCCUGGAGCUCUCGCCUUUCUUCUUCUUCAACCUAUUCGAGGCGAUACCAGUCACGAUCCGAUCUGUACGGGCACGAAGAGACCGACAGAGAUGAUGACUUGAAGGCGGAAUUUCUUUGUCCGUUCUGUGCUGAGGAUUUUGACGUCGUUGGACUUUGUUGCCACAUCGAUGAGGAACAUCCUGUGGAGGCUAAGAAUGGGAUAUGUCCAGUAUGUGCAAAGAGGGUGGGAUCAGAUAUUGUCAAUCAUAUUACCACACAACAUGGAAGUUUAUUGAAGGUGCAGCGCAAGAGGAGAUUUCGGAGGAAUGGAUCGAAUUCAACAUUUUCUAUAUUAAGGAAAGAGCUGCGAGAAGGAAAUUUACAAGCCCUUCUUGGGGGUUCUCAAUUCCUCAUUUCCUCAAAUUCAGAACCUGAUCCUUUGUUGUCUUCAUUUAUAUAUAAUCACUCUCUGGGUGAUCAACCUGCUAGUGGUGUGCAAUCUCAUUCUUCUGUUGAAGCAAGUUUAGUGAAGGAAGUGUCAAAGGAAGAGUCCUCAAAAGGCUCUUGAGGUAGAUCUCAACAAAGUUUUAGUUAGAGGGAUCAUAUAAUAUGGUUCCUGGUAGUUUCAUUCUGUGAAAUGUCCAGCCCUUGUUAUCAGACAAGGAUCAGGAGGAGAAAGCUAGGAAGUGUGAGUUUGUUCAAGGAUUACUGCUGUCUACUAUUUUCGAUGACUUGUGAACCAAAAGGGUGCUUAGCAGAUAGAACCUGGAGCCGAAGUAUCAGAAGAUGUUGAAGGCGAUGCUAAUUGGUAAUAGUUAGGUCGGAAGGACUAAGAAUUAAUAAUUUGUUGUAUUUAGAGGUUCUGUGUAUAAUGAAAGAUGGAAACAAGUUCAACUUUUGUUCUUGCUUUGUAUACAAUCUUAUAUAAAGUAAUAUUUAUUUAGUUGCA
Ziziphus jujuba (common jujube) is the source of this 1196-nucleotide RNA transcript. It is a transcript of the gene named protein DEHYDRATION-INDUCED 19 homolog 4, with no coding region annotated. NCBI's taxonomy places the organism in Eukaryota, Viridiplantae, Streptophyta, Magnoliopsida, Rosales, Rhamnaceae. The transcript has 6 exons. The record is from RefSeq and is a predicted model, not a curated record.